RNAcentral lists this ribosomal RNA (305 nucleotides) under uncultured bacterium. RNAcentral's name for it is "bacterial SSU rRNA". It matches the Rfam family "Bacterial small subunit ribosomal RNA", at positions 337 to 655 of the family's 1533-position model. The record is from RNAcentral.
UCCUACGGGACGCAGCAGUGGGGAAUAUUGGGCAAUGGAGGCAACUCUUACCCAGCAAUGCCGCGUGAAUGAAGAAGGUCUUCGGAUUGUAAAGUUCUUUAAUUGGGGACGAAAAAAAUGACGGUACACAAGGAAUAAGCCCCGGCUAACUACGUGCCAGCAGCCGCGGUAAUACGUAGGGGGCAAGCGUUGUUCGGAAUGACUGGGCGUAAAGGGAGUGUAGGCGGUGGAGCAAGGUGGAAGCGAAAUAGCUAGAGCUUAACUCAGGUGCUGCUUCUAAAACUGCUAUACUUGAGUUUAGUAGG